RNAcentral lists this transfer RNA (73 nucleotides) under Hirsutella minnesotensis 3608. RNAcentral's name for it is "tRNA-Arg (TCG) (tRNA-Arg-TCG-1-1)". It matches the Rfam family "tRNA". Rfam says of the family: Transfer RNA (tRNA) molecules are approximately 80 nucleotides in length. Their secondary structure includes four short double-helical elements and three loops (D, anti-codon, and T loops). Lineage: Eukaryota; Fungi; Ascomycota; Sordariomycetes; Hypocreales; Ophiocordycipitaceae. The record is from RNAcentral.
GGCCGCGUGGCCUAAUGGCUAAGGCGUCAGAUUUCGGCUCUGAAGAUUCCAGGUUCGACUCCUGGCGUGGUCG